This 495-nucleotide ribosomal RNA is filed under the name uncultured bacterium. RNAcentral describes it as "partial 16S ribosomal RNA". It matches the Rfam family "Bacterial small subunit ribosomal RNA", at positions 28 to 507 of the family's 1533-position model. The record is from RNAcentral.
GACGAACGCUGGCGGCGUGCCUAAUACAUGCAAGUAGAACGCUGAAGGAGGAGCUUGCUUCUCUGGAUGAGUUGCGAACGGGUGAGUAACGCGUAGGUAACCUGCCUGGUAGCGGGGGAUAACUAUUGGAAACGAUAGCUAAUACCGCAUAAUAGUAGAUGUUGCAUGACAUUUGCUUAAAAGGUGCAAUUGCAUCACUACCAGAUGGACCUGCGUUGUAUUAGCUAGUUGGUGGGGUAACGGCUCACCAAGGCGACGAUACAUAGCCGACCUGAGAGGGUGAACGGCCACACUGGGACUGAGACACGGCCCAGACUCCUACGGGAGGCAGCAGUAGGGAAUCUUCGGCAAUGGACGGAAGUCUGACCGAGCAACGCCGCGUGAGUGAAGAAGGUUUUCGGAUCGUAAAGCUCUGUUGUAAGAGAAGAACGAGUGUGAGAGUGGAAAGUUCACACUGUGACGGUAUCUUACCAGAAAGGGACGGCUAACUACGUG